RNAcentral lists this microRNA (20 nucleotides) under Echinococcus granulosus. RNAcentral describes it as "egr-miR-10256-3p". Lineage: Eukaryota; Metazoa; Platyhelminthes; Cestoda; Cyclophyllidea; Taeniidae. The record is from miRBase by way of RNAcentral.
CAUGUCUGCUAUGGCCCAUC